AUUACACCAAAAAAAACAUAUACAACUCGGGGAGACCUAUGUAUAUAUAUAUAUGUAGGCCUUUCCCACAUACACAGCAAAGUUUUGUACUCAAAAUUUGCAGUAAAAAAAAGGCCGAUCGACGUUAUAACGCACCGCCUAUACAAAAGCAAAAAUGUCCGUUUAUACAAAAAAUAUACGGCGUUUCGGUUUUUGGCGGGGUGGGUGCGUGUGUGGAUAACGGCUCACAUAACGUGUCGCGAUGGAUGACUUGGCUUCCUAUUUCGUUGAAGAACGCAGUA
This 281-nucleotide unclassified non-coding RNA is filed under the name Leishmania donovani. RNAcentral's name for it is "sequence contains 18S rRNA gene, ITS1 and 5.8S rRNA gene". Lineage: Eukaryota; Euglenozoa; Kinetoplastea; Trypanosomatida; Trypanosomatidae. The record is from RNAcentral.